UCAACGGAGAGUUUGAUCCUGGCUCAGGACGAACGCUGGCGGUGUGCUUAAUGCAUGCAAGUCGAACGAGAUCCUCCCACUGGGUAACCAGAGGGAACGAUCUAGUGGCGAACGGGUGAGUAACACGUGAGGAACUUGCCCUGGAGACCGGGAUAGCCCGGGGAAACCCGGAUUAAUACCGGAUACUCUCGAGAUGCCGCAUGGCAAUUCGAGGAAAUGGUCCGCCGCUCCAGGAGAGUCUCGCGACCUAUCAGCUUGUUGGUGAGGUAAUGGCUCACCAAGGCAUCGACGGGUAGCUGGUCUGAGAGGACGAUCAGCCACACUGGGACUGAGACACGGCCCAGACUCCUACGGGAGGCAGCAGCAGGGAAUAUUGCGCAAUGGGCGAAAGCCUGACGCAGCGACACCGCGUGAAGGAUGAAGGCCCUAGGGUUGUAAACUUCUUUCAGUGGGGAAGAAGCGAAAGUGACGGUACCCACAGAAGAAGCCCCGGCUAACUACGUG
This 504-nucleotide ribosomal RNA is filed under the name Acidimicrobiia bacterium. RNAcentral describes it as "bacterial SSU rRNA". It matches the Rfam family "Bacterial small subunit ribosomal RNA", at positions 1 to 507 of the family's 1533-position model. The record is from RNAcentral. Lineage: Bacteria; Bacillati; Actinomycetota; Acidimicrobiia.